CUUUGGAGAAAAUCAGAGUCACAAGCACUGUGAGGUCACAGUGUAGUUCCCACACACCCUGGUCCUUGUACAUGCCCUGGAUCUGGGAGCCUGGGGAUUUUAAGUCUUUGCUGUGAUUACGGGAUAGGAAGUAUGUUGGCGGGCAGUGUGUGUGGUGCGUUUGUGACCAGCGUUUGCACGGGAUAGAUAUGUAUAUAUAUCUCCAGGGUGCACAUCAGGUCAAGCUCAGACUCCUGGACUCGGCCUUCAAGGCCUCUAGACUCAAUCAUCCUAUGUUCUCAUCUGCCUCCCAUUUGGUCUGGGAGCUCCACAAGGGUAGGUCCUGGACACUUUUAUUCCUCCGCUUUCUGGGGCCCAUCAGGGAAAGGAGGUCAUGUUUACUGAGCAAGCACCACGGCCCAGGACCCUGAUGUCAGAUGAUAUU
Molecule: long non-coding RNA, 424 nt
Filed under: Mustela putorius furo (domestic ferret)
Lineage: Eukaryota; Metazoa; Chordata; Mammalia; Carnivora; Mustelidae
Description: lncRNA (ENSMPUG00000024718.1)
Source: RNAcentral